RNAcentral lists this ribosomal RNA (269 nucleotides) under uncultured bacterium. RNAcentral describes it as "partial 16S ribosomal RNA". It matches the Rfam family "Bacterial small subunit ribosomal RNA", at positions 88 to 354 of the family's 1533-position model. The record is from RNAcentral.
CCGGCGACCGGCGCACGGUGAGUAACGCGUAUGCAACCUGCCCGUUUCAGCGGGAUAACCCGGAGAAAUCCGGCCUAAUACCGCAUGUGGCCGAGGGGAGGCAUCUUCUUUCGGCCAAAGGAGGCAACUCCGGAGACGGAUGGGCAUGCGUGACAUUAGCUUGUUGGCGGGGUAACGGCCCACCAAGGCGACGAUGUCUAGGGGUUCUGAGAGGAAGGUCCCCCACACUGGUACUGAGACACGGACCAGACUCCUACGGGAGGCAGCAG